This 578-nucleotide long non-coding RNA is filed under the name Rattus norvegicus (Norway rat). RNAcentral's name for it is "long non-coding RNA NONRATT017343". The record is from RNAcentral. Lineage: Eukaryota; Metazoa; Chordata; Mammalia; Rodentia; Muridae.
UUUUCUUGUUUGUUUUUGUUUUAAAUAUACAAUGCUAGUUUUGACCUGUGUUUACGUACAUGCCCUUAAUACUUGGCAUGUCAAUUUCCAGAUGUUUGACAACAAAAUCUUCUUUCCUGGACGUGUGGACAGUACCAGAGCCAGCCUGUCAGAAUUACAGAGCACUGUCACGUGUUGCCAGGCAGUGGCAGGUCUCCGGGGAGAGCUAUCACCAUAGGGAUUGGCAUCAUAAAGGAAGACCAUUUGCAAACCCCUUGUCAACUCCAUAUUCCUACCACAUCUUUAAAGGAAAACCACAGGUUUUGAGCCCUGGGGAUUAUGAGGGGAGGAAUUUGGACAAUGUAGGGUUCUCUCUGUGUUUACACAGUUAACCUGAUGACAUCUUCUUCAGAAAGCAGGUUUCCAGACUUAGCUAAGUUUCAUCUGCGUAGCUGCAGAGGAACCUGGAUUGAUGCUGCCUUCCCCAGCCAGCCCUCAGCCAUUAGAACAUCCAGCAGCCAUCCUGGGAUUCGCGGGGCCAGAGACAGGGAUGCUGAGUCCGUUUUCCUCUCUCUUUUCUUCUCUCUUCUUCUUGGAGA